This is a long non-coding RNA of Lolium rigidum, 677 nucleotides long. RefSeq lists it as uncharacterized. NCBI's taxonomy places the organism in Eukaryota, Viridiplantae, Streptophyta, Magnoliopsida, Poales, Poaceae. The record is from RefSeq and is a predicted model, not a curated record. The transcript has 4 exons.
GAGACUGUAGUUGUGGCCAGCAGACCUGGUCUAGCCGGUCUCGGCGCCCUCGCCCAUAUUGUUCUCGCUUUCUCCUACUAUCCCUUACCUUCAUCAGUCAGCCCACUCCAUGUUGCCAAGGCGUUAGUGCCCUGGGAGGCGGGGAGACCUUGGUAGUGAUUACCAGUAUGUUCACGAGAUAAGGUCCAGAAGGUAAAUAUAUGAUGAUACACAUGCUUUUGUUUGGUUGUGGAGUUUUCCAGCAACAUAUCCUCCAUCAUUCUCAAGCAAGAACUAUUGGAAUUCCAUAGAUCUGCAAUACCUCUAUAUAUUUGAAGACAGAAUUUCUCCGUUGAUGUGCACAAAAAGUGUUCCCGGCAUCUGAGAGUUACUUCUAUAUUCUUCAAACUUGCAGCAUGAAUGGAAUCAACUAUAGAAAUUGGAUGGAGGAUCUGUCAGCUAUUGAAGCUCCCUGUCUCUUCACAAAAAAAAUGUCUUGGUGCCAUGAAAGCAGAGGGAGAAUUAAGGAUACGUAUUUAUGAAGUGAUCCAACAUGGUAAUGUAAUUAGUGAUUGCUUAGACAGAGAAAGAUCUAUUUACAUCUUUACUGUUUGACAACAGAGUAAGUGCUUAUUUACUUGUACUUAUGAAUCAAAUGCCCCUCCAGUUAUUCAUCUACACGGUUGAUGCAUUCGUUA